UCUAGUAUAAGCAAUUAUAUAGUGAAACUGCGAAUGGCUCAUUAAAUCAGUUAUCGUUUAUUUGAUAGUACCUUACUACUUGGAUAACCGUGGUAAUUCUAGAGCUAAUACAUGCUAAAAACCGCGACUUCGGGAGCGGUGUAUUUAUUAGAUAAAAAACCAAUGCCCUUCGGGGCUCCUUGGUGAUUCAUAAUAACUUAACGAAUCGCAUGGCCUUGUGCCGGCGAUGGUUCAUUCAAAUUUCUGCCCUAUCAACUUUCGAUGGUAGGAUAGUGGCCUACCAUGGUUUCAACGGGUAACGGGGAAUUAGGGUUCUAUUCCGGAGAGGGAGCCUGAGAAACGGCUACCACAUCCAAGGAAGGCAGCAGGCGCGCAAAUUACCCAAUCCCGACACGGGGAGGUAGUGACAAUAAAUACUGAUACAGGGCUCUUUUGGGUCUUGUAAUUGGAAUGAGUACAAUUUAAAUCCCUUAACGAGGAACAAUUGGAGGGCAAGUCUGGUGCCAGCAGCCGCGGUAAUUCCAGCUCCAAUAGCGUAUAUUAAAGUUGUUGCAGUUAAAAAGCUCGUAGUUGAACCUUGGGCCUGGCUGGCCGGUCCGCCUCACCGCGUGCACUGGUCCGGCCGGGCCUUUCCUUCUGGGGAGCCGCAUGCCCUUCACUGGGUGUGUCGGGGAACCAGGACUUUUACUUUGAAAAAAUUAGAGUGUUCAAAGCAGGCCUAUGCUCGAAUACAUUAGCAUGGAAUAAUAGAAUAGGACGUGUGGUUCUAUUUUGUUGGUUUCUAGGACCGCCGUAAUGAUUAAUAGGGAUAGUCGGGGGCAUCAGUAUUCAAUUGUCAGAGGUGAAAUUCUUGGAUUUAUUGAAGACUAACUACUGCGAAAGCAUUUGCCAAGGAUGUUUUCAUUAAUCAGUGAACGAAAGUUAGGGGAUCGAAGACGAUCAGAUACCGUCGUAGUCUUAACCAUAAACUAUGC
RNAcentral lists this ribosomal RNA (974 nucleotides) under Helotiales sp. Its description in RNAcentral is "SSU rRNA". It matches the Rfam family "Eukaryotic small subunit ribosomal RNA", at positions 59 to 1042 of the family's 1831-position model. The record is from RNAcentral. Lineage: Eukaryota; Fungi; Ascomycota; Leotiomycetes; Helotiales.